Molecule: long non-coding RNA, 212 nt
Filed under: Ananas comosus (pineapple)
Lineage: Eukaryota; Viridiplantae; Streptophyta; Magnoliopsida; Poales; Bromeliaceae
Description: long non-coding RNA (ACOM_LNC011607)
Source: RNAcentral
UUGUUUUGUAAUAAAAAAAUAAUUUUUAAUAUAUUUUUUAUUUUUAAAAAUAUUUUUUAUAUAAAUUAUAAAAAAUAAACAAAAUAAUGACAAAAUUCUAAGGAAUGGUUGGUUAAAUGUAUUAGCUAAAAAUUUUGAUAGAAUAAAACAUAAUUUUUUAAAAAUUAAAGAAAAUAAAUAAAUAUUUAUGGAAGUAUUUUUUGUGUUUAAGU